AGCAGCCGCGGUAAUUCCAGCUCCAAUAGCGUAUAUUAAAGUUGUUGCAGUUAAAAAGCUCGUAGUUGAAUUUCGGGGUUAGUAGGUUGGUCAUGCCUCUGGUAUGUACUGGUCUCACUGAUUCCUCCUUCCUGAUGAGCCGUAAUGCCAUUAAUUUGGUGUUGCGGGGAAUUUGGACUGUUACUUUGAAAAAAUUAGAGUGUUUAAAGCAGGCAUUUUUGCUUGAAUACAUUAGCAUGGAAUAAUAAAAUAGGACGGCAUGGUUCUAUUUUGUUGGUUUCUAGGACCACCGUAAUGAUUAAUAGGGAUAGUUGGGGGCAUUAGUAUUCAAUUGUCAGAGGUGAAAUUCUUGGAUUUAUUGAAGACUAGCUACUGCGAAAGCAUUUGCCAAGGAUGUUUUCAUUAAUCAAGAACGAAAGUUAGGGGAUCGAAG
Molecule: ribosomal RNA, 433 nt
Filed under: uncultured Glomeromycotina
Lineage: Eukaryota; Fungi; Glomeromycota
Description: SSU rRNA
Rfam family: Eukaryotic small subunit ribosomal RNA
Source: RNAcentral